GUGCAAGACUUCAAGAAUGGCACAAAAUUCUUAGGAAGGAGAAGAUGGCAGAACAAUUAGAUUCAGUAAAUGCGAGGUAUGUGGUUGAAUUUGACAUGAAGGAAGUUGAGAACAGCCUUCGCAAAGAUGUUGUUGAGAAGACAAGAGAAACUCAAGGAACCAGGGCAUUGUGGAUCUCGAAAAGAUGGUGGAGAUAUCGCCCGAAACUUCCCUAUACCUAUUUUCUUCAAAAACUUGAUACUUCUGAGGUGGCUGCUAUAGUCUUCACAGAGGAUCUGAAGAGAGUGUUUGUCACAAUGAAAGAAGGAUUCCCUCUUGAAUAUAUUGUUGAUAUUCCACUAGAUCCUUUCUUAUUUGAGAUGAUAUCAAGUUCUGGAGCUGAAGUAGAUCUACU
RNAcentral lists this unclassified non-coding RNA (394 nucleotides) under Hevea brasiliensis (rubber tree). The record is from RNAcentral. Lineage: Eukaryota; Viridiplantae; Streptophyta; Magnoliopsida; Malpighiales; Euphorbiaceae.